CCUACGGGUGGCUGCAGUGAGGAAUAUUGGUCAAUGGGCGCGCGCCUGAACCAGCCAAGUAGCGUGAAGGAUGACUGCCCUACGGGUUGUAAACUUCUUUUAUCAAGGAAUAAAGUGAGGCACGUGUGCCUUUUUGUAUGUACUUUAUGAAAAAGGCACGGCUAACUCCGUGCCAGCAGCCGCCGUAAUUCGGAGGAUCCGAGCGUUAUCCGGAUUUAUUGGGUUUAAAGGGAGCGGAGAUGGGUUGUUAAGUCAGUCGUGAAAGUUUGCGGCUCAACCGUCAAAUUGCAAUUGAUACUGGCAGUCUUGAGUACAGGUGAGGUAGGCGGAAUGCGUGGUGUAGCGGUGAAAUGCUUAGAUAUCACGCAGAACUCCGAUUGCGAAGGCAGCUUACUAAACUGCCACUGACAUUGAUGCUCGAAAGUGUGGGUAUCAAACAGGAUUAGAUACCCUGGUAGUC
Molecule: ribosomal RNA, 460 nt
Filed under: uncultured bacterium
Lineage: Bacteria
Description: partial 16S ribosomal RNA
Rfam family: Bacterial small subunit ribosomal RNA
Source: RNAcentral